This 326-nucleotide long non-coding RNA is filed under the name Rattus norvegicus (Norway rat). Its description in RNAcentral is "long non-coding RNA NONRATT018820". Lineage: Eukaryota; Metazoa; Chordata; Mammalia; Rodentia; Muridae. The record is from RNAcentral.
ACCCGGCUCGCCCGAUCACGAACCCACUCCACCUCAAGUAGCAUUGGCUCUGGAGAAAGUCCCUUCAGCAGGUCUGUGACCAGCAAUCAGUCAGAUGGAACUCAAGAAUCCUGGGUCACACCAGCCAGGGAGACCCUCUGGGAAGAAGCUGCCACACACAAGGACUCUGGAAGGAUCCACAUGUGAGCCCAGCCAGGGUCAUACGGUUCCCAACCUGAGGAAAAGGUUUUUCACACACUCCUUGCUUUCUGCUGAGAUAAGAAAGGUGUCACUCUGCAGAGUGUGACUUUUUACAGGUUAAAUAAAGCUGUAUAUGUCUCAUUGUU